AAGAACUUCGUGUUCGCCAUUGUGGAUUGAGAUGAAGAGAGCGGAAUAAUUGUUGGUCUAUGAAGGUGUUGUUGCGUUGCCGACGAAGAGAAUGAAUCAACGAAGAAUCCAGAGUAAUUUCCGCGAGAUCUCGAACGAAUCUGUAUCCGAUCCGAAGUCCGGCCAAAUCGUAAGCUCCGAUGAUCCUUCUUCUUCUUCUUCUUCUCGUUCUUAGUUUGUUUCUCUGAAUUCUGUGAAACUCUUUUGGCUAUGGAGUUGUGGUUUUUGGUUUUUGCUACCUCUUCAAUCUCUCUUUCUGUUUCAUUCUAUGAAGGUUGUGUGUAGUUAAAAUGGUGAGUGAAGAUUGGUGAGGUUUGAAUGGUUCAAAGUUGACGGAAGGUUUGGUGAUUUGUGAAGUGGAGAUUUUGAGGAGGGUUGUUGAAUGAUGGUGAAGAUGAUGGAGUGAAGUUGGGGGUUCUGUUAAGGGUGGUCUUAUUGAAGGUUGGGGCGUCAAGAAGCUGUUGUGGGCGUGAGGCUCCGUUAGCCGGUUUUCAGAAGAAAAAAUAGUUAUUUUAACUUUCCGUUCCAUCCCCUUUUUUUCUAUUGGAGUUUGUUAUGAGAAGUAAAUCAGCUCGGUUUUGGGAGGUUUUCUUUGUAGGGUAUUCAAGGAUUGGUUUUGUCAUGUGGAGAGCGAUUGGAGGUCCUUUUUCUUUCAAUGUCAGUUGGAAAUCCUGAGUUAGAGUGUGGAUUUGGUUAGUGUCGUGAGGUUGUAACGGUCGGGAUUCAGUUAUCCUUUCUGUCGGAGGUUAGAAUUUGUUUUUUGAAGACACUCUGCUAGUUAUCAAUGUCAGUUACAAUGUGAUUGCAAUUUUACUGGACAUUCUGUUAGGGAGGUUAGAAAUCCGUACAGGUCAUUGAAGGGUUAUUUUGAAUCGGUUAGAGAAGGGUUAGUUUGUUAGUUGUGUAGAAGUUUGUUGGAAGGUUUAUUGAAUUGGUUGAAAUUGUGUACAUUGGUUUUUCUCUGCUGCAGGUCUUUGAAUGCUAUAAAUUAGAAGGAACUUGGAAUUCUGCCGGUUUUUCUCAAAGUUGGUUCUCAGUUUGGAAGUCAAGAGAUUUUGUUCAAUCUUUUGUGUGAGCAGAUAACUUUUUGGAGUUUAUUUCUCUAUUUCAAUUGUGAUGCAGGGUCAUUGGUUUUAUGUUUUUUCUAUUAUGCUCCCAUUGAGAGGUUUUAUGUUUUUUCUAUUAUGCUCCCAUUGAGAGCUUUUUCUUCCAAUAGUGUAGAAGUAUCUAUUUAAAUCGUUCACUGACACAACACGAGGUGAAUCUAUAUCUAUAUAGGAGUAGCUUGCAACUGGUUGAAUAUGAAGUCAUGACUCACAUAUAGUAAUAAGUAGUAGUAUCUAAAAGCAGUACACGCUGACACGUGAAAGCAGAUGUUGAAUAUGAAGUCAUGACUCAUAUAUAUCCAAAAAGCAGUAGAGACACGUGAAAGCAUUACACUGCACUUUAGUUCACUGACACUGACACUAAAACAGUAAGGCAAGAAAACACUAUUUAUAGGACACUACUUAGGGUUAAAGAGUAUUGAAACAGUAAGACUAUUUAAAGGACACCACUGGCACUUAGUGUUAAAAGAGAAACAGUAAGGCAAGAAAACACUAUUUAUAGGACACUACUUAGUGUUAAAGAGUAUUGAAACAGUAAGACUAUUUAAAGGACACCACUGGCACUUAGUGUUAAAAGAGAGUAAAAUACUUCCACUUAUUAAGCCAGUAUGACAUUGAACCAUAUCACAGGAUCCCACAUCACAUCUCUUUUCCCUUCUUCUCUGUAAGAUUAUCAGCAUUGUCCAAAGGGAAAUCGGUUUUCAUUAACUCCCAUUGAAUCACACCCUCUUUCACUUUUGAAAAUGAUGAUGAUCCUUGACCUCUAAGAAAAUUACUUGCCAUUACAUCCAGCUUCUUUGAUAUACCUCUCAAUUCUUCAUAAUCAUCAUCUCUUUCCAGCAUUUUUCUUUUCAGUUUUAGUUGGAACU
RNAcentral lists this long non-coding RNA (2014 nucleotides) under Lathyrus oleraceus (garden pea). Its description in RNAcentral is "Pisum sativum (pea) long non-coding RNA (PSAT_LNC011049)". The record is from RNAcentral. Lineage: Eukaryota; Viridiplantae; Streptophyta; Magnoliopsida; Fabales; Fabaceae.